GUUCUUUUCAAUUAUUUUGUCAUAAUCUGAUCUCAGAUCCCUCAAGAAAAAUGAAUACCUGCUGGCCGUGCUGUUGGGAAUAUUUGAAGCCUCAACUCAAUAGCUGGAAGCCAGAGAACAUGGAAGCCAGAGAGAAGCCUCCUAAGGCAGAGAGAAGAAUGAAGAAGUGUGGAAAAUGAAUCUAGAAUGAAAGGUGGAACAAAUGGAAGCUACCUACUACCACGAAUACACAGAAUUCCGUGAGGUGAUUACACUGCUAUUUUUGUUCAGUGUUCCUUGUGACUUGGGAAAUUCCCCCAUCAUUCCCCUCACUAUACAACGAAUGCAUGUCAAAUAAAUGACCCAAACACUCUCUGGCUGGAAGCCUCAGUAAAUCUCUGUGGAGGAAAGUCUGGAGAUCUGCUUCUCUCAUCCUUAUUGCCCUGCCAAGGACAAGGAUAUCCUGGAAGAAAGGCUGGAAAAAAACAAGGACAUUGAUACUUUGGCAUUGUGAAAAUGAUUAGACUCACUGAAUCCUGUAUAUAAUAAUGGGGUCUGUUGUUGCUAGCCUUUCGACAGAAUUGUGCCAGAAUCCAUUUCUCUUUAAAUGCCAUGGAAUGUCACUGAUACAUGAAAUGACAUCCCUGAACUUUGAGGUUGCAUAAGGAAGACCUCAGUGCAAGACCCCAGAUAUUCAUUAGCAAGUUGGAAUUGUGGUAUCUGUGCCCAUCACUCUUCAUGGAGAAAAUAUAUUCUAUAGACUUACUGGUGGAAAAACAUUGCUACAAGAGCUGUCUCAAAUCAAUACUGAAUUAAAUCUGGUUGCAAAGGAAUAAAUACUGUCACCAGCA
Canis lupus familiaris (dog) is the source of this 830-nucleotide long non-coding RNA. RefSeq lists it as uncharacterized. The record is from RefSeq and is a predicted model, not a curated record. NCBI's taxonomy places the organism in Eukaryota, Metazoa, Chordata, Mammalia, Carnivora, Canidae. The transcript is spliced from 4 exons.